CAGGGGUUAGCAGGUUCUGUUGGGAACCAGCAAUAUCUUCCUUCUCAGCAGGGUGCUAACAUGAGACCGCCUCAAUCACAGGGGUUCGCAGGUUCUGUUGCGAACCAGCAAUAUCUACCUUCGCAGCAGAAUGUUAACAUGAGACCACCUCAAUCACAGGGGUUAUCAGGUCCUAUUUCAAACCAGCAAUUUCUACCUUUGCAGCAGAAUAUUAACACGAGACCGCCUCAAUCACAGGGGUUAGCAGGUCCUGUUGGGAACCAGCAGUUUCUACCUUCGCAGCAGAGUCCUACUAUGAGACCACCUCAAUCACAGGGAUUUUCAGGUUUUGUUGCAAAUCCACAAUAUCUUCCUUCCCAGCAGAAUCCAAACAUGAGACCAACUCAAUCCAUGCCAACUGUCAGUGCUCCUGGUCCACAACAAUUCAUGCCUGCUGGUAACACUCCUCGUCCAC
This 454-nucleotide long non-coding RNA is filed under the name Medicago truncatula (barrel medic). RNAcentral's name for it is "long non-coding RNA (MTRU_LNC001321)". The record is from RNAcentral. Lineage: Eukaryota; Viridiplantae; Streptophyta; Magnoliopsida; Fabales; Fabaceae.